Molecule: long non-coding RNA, 1885 nt
Organism: Macaca fascicularis (crab-eating macaque)
Lineage: Eukaryota; Metazoa; Chordata; Mammalia; Primates; Cercopithecidae
Source: Ensembl
AGAUUCUAUUUUAUUGGCCUGGUAUCACAGCCUUAAAAAUUCAAGGGGAAAAGCCAAACCGAUUGAAAGCCAGGGAACAUAGCGGCAAGCACCACAGAGUACAAGUUCCCCUCCAUGACUCUGAGGCUCAAAUGGGAAAAGGAGAGAUGUCUGCUUUGAUUUCUUUCCUUUUAAUUAAUCAUGAUCACAAAGCAAUCUCCACCCUGUCCCUGGGAUUUAAGAUACUGGUUAAACUCCACCGUGUCCCGAAUUCUCCAUCGAAGGUGGAGGAGUGUUCAGAAUCUAAAGUCCGCCCGCGGACCAUUAAAAACCUCUAGGUCUGUGCCCUCAUUUUUAAUACUCAAAGGCUCACCCCGAGCCGCCACGCAGUACACUCUUCUCUAUUUGCUGGGCCAGUUUUGGAAAUUAGAAGGGGUUUGUCUCUUUGUUAGCAAUCUGUUUACUUUCUUCUGAUACAAUGAAGCAUCAGGUUCAAGGUGACAAGGCUUCUUGGUUUAGUCAUUUUUACCCAUCUUCCUCUUUGUAGAUGAUGUUUUUUCAUUUUCAAUUGUAUUUUUUUCAUCAAUGCCAUCUCCCGAACAGCAUUUUAAAAAUAAAAUUUCCAAGUCCUUUUUUUAUGUGGUUCCAGUCAAAUGAUUUACCCACACCCCAAAUAAUACUAUUUACAUCCAAUAUUAAUAGCUGCCUAUCAGUAAUUCUUAAAGAUCUUCUGAUCCAUAUUUAACAAUUUAAAUGAUGGCUAACAUUAUUGACAGGCAAAUGCCUGAACCAAUAGUUUGUGGACUAGUUGCCAGCCAGAUGACAGCCAGGUACACUCAGGGAUAAGAACAUAAUUAGUUUCUGCCCUAGUCUCUUCAACUGUAGAAGGCAGACAGCACUCUUUCUCACCUUCCAGGGAAGCAGAUUAGCAGAUUAACAAAAUGAUGUAAAUCACACAAGGUUUAAAUCCCCCUUCCCCUUCUAAUACCUAUUUAGGAAAACUUUAAAAUUUUUCUUUUAGGCAUCUAGUCUUUCUGUGGUUUAGCCACAUGCUCUCCCCUUUUUGGCUUUAUCCUUCUGUAAAGUAAGGAAGGUGAAAGAGCAUAUUAGGAGUUUUUCUUAUAGCUUUCCUGUGUUUGAGUGGAUCAUCCUGUUGCCGUCGUUUUAGUCCAGUUGUUGUUAGUUCAUGUUCUUACCACCCACCAAAGAAUAGCACAGGAUUAAGUUUAUACUAAUAAAUGAUGUUCAUGAGGAGGUUUUUAAAUGCCAGAGUUAUGAUUUAUUUUUUUAAAUGGGUGGAGAAAGGGGAGCGGCAAUAAAACUAGCUCCCAAGUCAUUCAAAAUCCUUGGUUUCACACAUCUAUGUGGGCUUUUCUUUGUUUUGGUCUUUAAGUUUUUUGGACAUACCUCUUAUUUCCCUGUAAGUCCUAUUAUCAUGGACCAAAUGCUUUUUUUGACUAUCUUUGUCCAUAGCUUGAAACCCUGUUUAUUACAGUUAAAUUUAUAGAAAGUAUUAUAUGGUCCUCUUUUCUACUUCCUAAGAGUUUAUAAUUGUCCCUGUUUAUCUCCCCACCCAUUAAGAAUUCUGUAAUAAAUCCCUGCACCAAAUAAAUUAAAAUCUGCAACUUCAGACACCCGAGGAAGAGGACAUUAAUCCACUUAGUAAAAUACUCAAGACCUCCCCCUCUCAAUUUCAGCUCUUCUUAAUGUAACAUUCAGUAAUUACAGCUGGCUCCUUAUACUUCCCUCCCUCCCUUUUAUUCUGAAUCAUAUUGGCCUUGCUUAACCUUCAUUUCCUUUUCUACUCCCCACAUUUGUCCACAUACUUUUCUUUGACCAUGUUUGUCUCUUUCUCUUUCUUUCUGCUGUGUGGAUUGAGGGCAACAAAUGAAACUUUCCAAGAGCU